AUGCACAUGAAGUUUUAAGAAUCAUGGUUACCAUAAAAAACAUUGCCAUUCGUUUGGCUUUGUUUUUCUUGGUGUUUGCUGCCCUCUUCGCUCUCCAUGAAUGCAAAACCUGUGAAAAAAUACCGAGGGAUAAUGGAUUCUGCACGCCUCAGGCUUGUAACUAUUUUUGCAAGAUAGAUCUGCAUCGUGUCAUAAGUGCUCGUGGAUAUUGCAAAACGAAGCCUAGAAAAACUUGCGUGUGUAGUUACUCCUGCUAAUUACUUUUGAUUAUUACCAAGGGUUACUUGAUGUAUUGUUUUUGUAUGGGAGUAAAAAAGUCAAAAGGGAACUUCCUUUCUGUGUUACUUUUUUUUUUUUAAAUGAUUUGGGGGAGGGGAUUUCGAACUCUAUACCUCCAUUUUGGAGGCUAGAGAUUAUGUCAAUCAGACCACAUGUCUUUAAUCCUUUUUAUGUUACUGAUAUGCAUGCGAUAAUGCAUUUCAUUGUAUAAAUAAUGGGUAUUGGAAACCAUGGAUGAAUAAGAAUUCGUGAUGGUAAAUUGAUUUUUCAAUUUUUUAGUUUUCA
Molecule: long non-coding RNA, 564 nt
Organism: Juglans regia (Persian walnut)
Lineage: Eukaryota; Viridiplantae; Streptophyta; Magnoliopsida; Fagales; Juglandaceae
Exons: 2
Source: RefSeq, a predicted model, not a curated record